This 75-nucleotide transfer RNA is filed under the name Provespa barthelemyi. RNAcentral describes it as "tRNA-Glu". Lineage: Eukaryota; Metazoa; Arthropoda; Insecta; Hymenoptera; Vespidae. The record is from RNAcentral.
AUUUAUAUAGUUUAAAAUUAAAACCUUUUAUUUUCAAUAAAAAAAUAAUAGCAUUAUUAAAUUUAUUUAUAAAUU